UCUAAUCCAUGUCCAUCAAUUGUCGAUGACGUGUUCCCAUUCUCAGUUUCAUCUUUUUUCACCAAAAAAAAAGAGAAGAGAAGAAGAAGAAUUCCCAAAUGGCAUGGAAAAUGGGAUUUUUGAGUAUAGGCGGAGUGGGGAGGGUUUCCCGCUGAUGCUGCUGCUAGUUACCACAAAACAGAAAUGUUUCCAUUUUUGUCUAUU
This is a non-coding RNA of Caenorhabditis elegans, 204 nucleotides long. The record is from Ensembl. NCBI's taxonomy places the organism in Eukaryota, Metazoa, Nematoda, Chromadorea, Rhabditida, Rhabditidae.